GAUGAACGCUGGCGGCGUGCCUAAUACAUGCAAGUCGAGCGAACAGACGAGGAGCUUGCUCCUCUGACGUUAGCGGCGGACGGGUGAGUAACACGUGGAUAACCUACCUAUAAGACUGGGAUAACUUCGGGAAACCGGAGCUAAUACCGGAUAAUAUAUUGAACCGCAUGGUUCAAUAGUGAAAGACGGUUUUGCUGUCACUUAUAGAUGGAUCCGCGCCGCAUUAGCUAGUUGGUAAGGUAACGGCUUACCAAGGCAACGAUGCGUAGCCGACCUGAGAGGGUGAUCGGCCACACUGGAACUGAGACACGGUCCAGACUCCUACGGGAGGCAGCAGUAGGGAACCUUCCGCAAUGGGCGAAAGCCUGACGGAGCAACGCCGCGUGAGUGAUGAAGGUCUUCGGAUCGUAAAACUCUGUUAUUAGGAAAGAACAAAUGUGUAAGUAACUAUGCACGUCUUGACGGUACCUAAUCAGAAAGCCACGGCUAACUACGUG
RNAcentral lists this ribosomal RNA (497 nucleotides) under uncultured bacterium. RNAcentral's name for it is "partial 16S ribosomal RNA". It matches the Rfam family "Bacterial small subunit ribosomal RNA", at positions 28 to 507 of the family's 1533-position model. The record is from RNAcentral.